Molecule: ribosomal RNA, 245 nt
Filed under: uncultured Syntrophomonas sp.
Lineage: Bacteria; Bacillati; Bacillota; Clostridia; Eubacteriales; Syntrophomonadaceae
Description: partial 16S ribosomal RNA
Rfam family: Bacterial small subunit ribosomal RNA
Source: RNAcentral
GACGUAGGGGGCGAGCGUUGUCCGGAAUUACUGGGCGUAAAGAGCACGUAGGCGGAUAUUUAAGUCAGGUGUGAAAGACCGCAGCUCAACUGCGGGGUUGCACCUGAAACUGGGUAUCUUGAGGGCAGGAGAGGACAGUGGAAUUCCAGGUGUAGCGGUGAAAUGCGUAGAAAUCUGGAGGAACACCAGUGGCGAAGGCGACUGUCUGGACUGACCCUGACGCUGAGGUGCGAAAGCGUGGGUAG